GACGAACGCUGGCGGCGUGCUUAACACAUGCAAGUCGAACGGAAAGGCCCUGCUUUUGUGGGGUGCUCGAGUGGCGAACGGGUGAGUAACACGUGAGUAACCUGCCCUUGGCUUUGGGAUAACUUCAGGAAACUGGGGCUAAUACCGGAUAGGAGCUCCUGCUGCAUGGUGGGGGUUGGAAAGUUUCGGCGGUUGGGGAUGGACUCGCGGCUUAUCAGCUUGUUGGUGGGGUAGUGGCUUACCAAGGCUUUGACGGGUAGCCGGCCUGAGAGGGUGACCGGCCACAUUGGGACUGAGAUACGGCCCAGACUCCUACGGGAGGCAGCAGUGGGGAAUAUUGCACAAUGGGCGGAAGCCUGAUGCAGCAACGCCGCGUGCGGGAUGACGGCCUUCGGGUUGUAAACCGCUUUCGCCUGUGACGAAGCGUGAGUGACGGUAAUGGGUAGAGAAGCACCGGCUAACUACGUG
This 468-nucleotide ribosomal RNA is filed under the name uncultured bacterium. RNAcentral's name for it is "partial 16S ribosomal RNA". It matches the Rfam family "Bacterial small subunit ribosomal RNA", at positions 28 to 507 of the family's 1533-position model. The record is from RNAcentral.